UGAUUAUGACGUACUUGUACUGAUUGAGAUUUUAACACGAAGUGAGUGGCGAACGGGUGAGUAACACGUGGGUAACCUGCCCAGAAGUAGGGGAUAACACCUGGAAACAGAUGCUAAUACCGUAUAACAGAGAAAACCGCAUGGUUUUCUUUUAAAAGAUGGCUCUGCUAUCACUUCUGGAUGGACCCGCGGCGUAUUAGCUAGUUGGUGAGGUAAAGGCUCACCAAGGCAGUGAUACGUAGCCGACCUGAGAGGGUAAUCGGCCACAUUGGGACUGAGACACGGCCCAGACUCCUACGGGAGGCAGCAGUAGGGAAUCUUCCACAAUGGACGCAAGUCUGAUGGAGCAACGCCGCGUGAGUGAAGAAGGGUUUCGGCUCGUAAAGCUCUGUUGUUAAAGAAGAACGUGGGUAAGAGUAACUGUUUACCCAGUGACGGUAUUUAACCAGAAAGCCACGGCUAACUACGUGCCAGCAGCCGCGGUAAUACGUAGGUGGCAAGCGUUAUCCGGAUUUAUUGGGCGUAAAGCGAGCGCAGGCGGUCUUUUAAGUCUAAUGUGAAAGCCUUCGGCUCAACCGAAGAAGUGCAUUGGAAACUGGGAGACUUGAGUGCAGAAGAGGACAGUGGAACUCCAUGUGUAGCGGUGAAAUGCGUAGAUAUAUGGAAGAACACCAGUGGCGAAGGCGGCUGUCUGGUCUGCAACUGACGCUGAGGCUCGAAAGCAUGGGUAGCGAACAGGAUUAGAUACCCUGGUAGUCCAUGCCGUAAACGAUGAUUACUAAGUGUUGGAGGGUUUCCGCCCUUCAGUGCUGCAGCUAACGCAUUAAGUAAUCCGCCUGGAGAGUACGACCGCAGGUUGAAACUCAANAGAAUUGACGGAGGCCCGCACAAGCGGUGGAUCAUGUGGUUUAU
This 912-nucleotide ribosomal RNA is filed under the name Pediococcus pentosaceus. RNAcentral describes it as "bacterial SSU rRNA". It matches the Rfam family "Bacterial small subunit ribosomal RNA", at positions 45 to 949 of the family's 1533-position model. Lineage: Bacteria; Bacillati; Bacillota; Bacilli; Lactobacillales; Lactobacillaceae. The record is from RNAcentral.